RNAcentral lists this ribosomal RNA (467 nucleotides) under uncultured bacterium. RNAcentral describes it as "bacterial SSU rRNA". It matches the Rfam family "Bacterial small subunit ribosomal RNA", at positions 355 to 825 of the family's 1533-position model. The record is from RNAcentral.
UAGGGAAUAUUGGACAAUGGGUGAGAGCCUGAUCCAGCCAUGCCGCGUGCAGGAAGAAGGCGUUAUGCGUUGUAAACUGCUUUUUGCCAGGGGAUAAAAUGACCGUGCGCGGUUAAUUGAAGGUACCUGGUGAAUAAGCCACGGCUAACUACGUGCCAGCAGCCGCGGUAAUACGUAGGUGGCAAGCGUUGUCCGGAUUUAUUGGGUUUAAAGGGUGCGUAGGUGGCCCUGUAAGUCAGUGGUGAAAUAUCUCAGCUUAACUGAGAGGGUGCCAUUGAUACUGCAGGGCUUGAGUACAGAUGAGGUAGGCGGAAUUGACGGUGUAGCGGUGAAAUGCAUAGAUAUAGGAAGGAACACCAGUGGCGAAGGCGACCACCUGGACUGAUACUGACACUGAGGUGCGAAAGCGUGGGGAGCAAACAGGAUUAGAUACCCCGGUAGUCCCUGAGCGGGCUGGCAAGGCGCAU